Molecule: ribosomal RNA, 282 nt
Filed under: Triticum aestivum (bread wheat)
Lineage: Eukaryota; Viridiplantae; Streptophyta; Magnoliopsida; Poales; Poaceae
Description: partial small subunit ribosomal RNA
Source: RNAcentral
GUCAGGGACUGGUCAGAACUGCCUCUUGACUUGCUCUCUUCUAUAUUCACCAAGCUCGACACUGUAGACGUUCUCAUGGGUGCGGGCCUUGUGUGUCACUCACGGCUAGAGGCUGCAAAAAUGCCUGAUCUGUGGUGGCGUGUGGACUUUGAGCACCGUGUCCUUGUAAGAACAGGGAGGAGAAAUCCAGAUGUAUUGUGUGCAAUGGCAAAGUUGGAUGUGGACCGCUGUCGGUGUCAAAACGGGCAGAUCUCGGGUAGGGGGCCCAAGCUGUGCGUCUGA